AGCUUUCUGUAUACGUGUUGAGAUUUCGUCACACACAGACCACAAGGGCUCGUGAGACAACCGAGAUAAGUGAAGCG
This 77-nucleotide microRNA precursor is filed under the name Schistosoma margrebowiei. Its description in RNAcentral is "mir-3492 microRNA precursor family". It matches the Rfam family "mir-3492 microRNA precursor family". The record is from Rfam by way of RNAcentral. Lineage: Eukaryota; Metazoa; Platyhelminthes; Trematoda; Strigeidida; Schistosomatidae.